AAGGCUCGUCCGCUCUGGGUUAGUCGGGUCCUAAGCUGAGGCCGACAGGCGUAGGCGAUGGAUAACAGGUUGAUAUUCCUGUACCACCAUUAUUCGUUUUAAGCGAUGGGGGGACGCAGUAGGAUAGGCGAAGCGUGCUGUUGGAGUGCACGUCCAAGCAGUGAGAUUGAGUGUUAGGCAAAUCCGGCACUCUUAAGAUUGAGCUGUGAUGGGGAGAGGAACUUGUUCCUCGAGUCGUUGAUUUCACACUGCCGAGAAAAGCCUCUAGCUAGAAUAACGGUGCCCGUACCGCAAACCGACACAGGUAGUCAAGAUGAGAAUUCUAAGGUGAGCGAGCGAACUCUCGUUAAGGAACUCGGCAAAAUGACCCCGUAACUUCGGGAGAAGGGGUGCUCUUUGAGGUUCACGCUUCGAAGAGCCGCAGUGAAUAGGCCCAAGCGACUGUUUAUCAAAAACACAGGUCUCUGCUAAACCGUAAGGUGACGUAUAGGGGCUGACGCCUGCCCGGUGCUGGAAGGUUAAGAGGAGUGGUUAGCGCAAGCGAAGCUACGAAUCGAAGCCCCAGUAAACGGCGGCCGUAACUAUAACGGUCCUAAGGUAGCGAAAUUCCUUGUCGGGUAAGUUCCGACCCGCACGAAAGGCGUAACGAUUUGGGCACUGUCUCAACGAGAGACUCGGUGAAAUCAUAGUACCGGUGAAGAUGCCGGUUACCCGCGACAGGACGGAAAGACCCCGUGGAGCUUUACUGUAGCCUGAUAUUGAAAUUCGGUACAGUUUGUACAGGAUAGGUAGGAGCCUUAGAAGCGUGAGCGCUAGCUUACGUGGAGGCAUUGGUGGGAUACUACCCUAAUUGUAUUGGAUUUCUAACCCGCAGCACUUAUCGUGCUGGGAGACAGUGUCAGGCGGGCAGUUUGACUGGGGCGGUCGCCUCCUAAAGAGUAACGGAGGCGCUCAAAGGUUCCCUCAGAAUGGUUGGAAAUCAUUCAUAGAGUGUAAAGGCAUAAGGGAGCUUGACUGCGAGACCUACAAGUCGAGCAGGGUCGAAAGACGGACUUAGUGAUCCGGUGGUUCCGCAUGGAAGGGCCAUCGCUCAACGGAUAAAAGCUACCCCGGGGAUAACAGGCUUAUCUCCCCCAAGAGUUCACAUCGACGGGGAGGUUUGGCACCUCGAUGUCGGCUCAUCGCAUCCUGGGGCUGUAGUCGGUCCCAAGGGUUGGGCUGUUCGCCCAUUAAAGCGGUACGCGAGCUGGGUUCAGAACGUCGUGAGACAGUUCGGUCCCUAUCCGUCGUGGGCGUAGGAAAUUUGAGAGGAGCUGUCCUUAGUACGAGAGGACCGGGAUGGACAUACCUCUGGUGUACCAGUUGUCGUGCCAACGGCAUAGCUGGGUAGCUAUGUAUGGACGGGAUAAGUGCUGAAAGCAUCUAAGCAUGAAGCCCCCCUCGAGAUGAGAUUUCCCAACUUCGGUUAUAAGAUCCCUCAAAGAUGAUGAGGUGAAUAGGUUCGAGGUGGAAGCGUAGCGAUACGUGGAGCUGACGAAUACUA
This 1543-nucleotide ribosomal RNA is filed under the name Staphylococcus pseudintermedius. Its description in RNAcentral is "partial 23S ribosomal RNA". It matches the Rfam family "Bacterial large subunit ribosomal RNA", at positions 1361 to 2903 of the family's 2925-position model. The record is from RNAcentral. Lineage: Bacteria; Bacillati; Bacillota; Bacilli; Caryophanales; Staphylococcaceae.